Molecule: ribosomal RNA, 561 nt
Filed under: Chaetothyriales sp. AR-2010
Lineage: Eukaryota; Fungi; Ascomycota; Eurotiomycetes; Chaetothyriales
Description: eukaryotic LSU rRNA
Rfam family: 5.8S ribosomal RNA (bases 194-347)
Source: RNAcentral
GGAAGUAAAAGUCGUAACAAGGUCUCCGUAGGUGAACCUGCGGAGGGAUCAUUACUGAGUUAUCUAACUCCCAAACCAUUGUGAACUUACCACUGUUGCCUCGGCGGCAGGCUCUGUAACAGGAGCGGCCGCCGGUGGACUACUAAACUCUUGUUAAUUUUUGUCAUUCUGAAUAACAAACUUAAUAAGUUAAAACUUUCAACAACGGAUCUCUUGGUUCUGGCAUCGAUGAAGAACGCAGCGAAAUGCGAUAAGUAAUGUGAAUUGCAGAAUUCAGUGAAUCAUCGAAUCUUUGAACGCACAUUGCGCCCAUUAGUAUUCUAGUGGGCAUGCCUGUUCGAGCGUCAUUUCAACCCUUAAGCAUAGCUUAGUAUUGGGAAUCUGCUUAACCGCAGCUCCUUAAAUCUAGUUGGCAGAGUGUAGUUGUACUCUGAGCGUAGUAAUUCAUUAUCUCGCUUUCUGAAGACACUAUUCUAUCGCCAUAAACCUAUUUUUUUUACUGGUUGACCUCGGAUCAGGUAGGAAUACCCGCUGAACUUAAGCAUAUCAAUAAGCGGAGGA